Megalobrama amblycephala (Wuchang bream) is the source of this 1631-nucleotide long non-coding RNA. RefSeq lists it as uncharacterized. Lineage: Eukaryota; Metazoa; Chordata; Actinopteri; Cypriniformes; Xenocyprididae. The record is from RefSeq and is a predicted model, not a curated record. The transcript is spliced from 4 exons.
AUAAAGACAGUCGGCCGUAUCAUUUUAUAGUACGCUAUACAAAGUUGUAUUUGUAUAGCUUCCUUUGUUUUUGGCUGCGUACGUUGCAGACCUCGUUAAUUUGUUAAACUCAGUGCUUGUUGUAGCUUUACUCGAUAAGUUUAUUUGGUAAAUUAUUUCGUCCUGAAUAUUUAACCUCAAAUCUCACGAAAACUUAUUUUUUAAUCACUUCGGAGCCAUUUCCAAUGCAAUAUGUUAUCUCGCUUUGCAAGUAUGUUUUGAGUCUGGAUAUCUGGUAAAUGAAGUAAGUUGUAUCGUGAAAAUGUGUUAAUAUAAUGUCUUGGCUAUAAUGAGUGAAUAAAUGCACUAAUUUUCGUUUUAAUCGAGCGUUUUAGAGCCACGUACAAGACUCGCGUACUUAGGGUUAAUACUAAGUACUGACAGACAUGACGUCUCAUACAGGAAGGGGAAUUAGCUCAAAUGGUAGAGCGCUCGCUUAGCAUGCGAGAGGUAGCGGGAUCGAUGCCCGCAUUCUCCAAUGUUUUUUUUUUUUUCGCUGUUCGAAAAUUUUGGCCCACAGGUGCGAUGGAAAGGAAGUAGUCCGGCUCUCGUUUGCAACGCAGGGCGAGCAGCACAGGACCGACUGCAUACAGCAGGUUGAGAAGGAGGAUGGGCACCAGGACCGAGGUGAAGCGCCAAUUUUUUUCAAACCAGCUGUCCCGACUUCACGAUACUGCAUGACGUUCGAAGCUUCAAACAUCAUCAAUCCCGUGGUGUGGUGAUGGCCUGUAACUGCGUUCCAGUCGGGGUGUUCUGCCUUCGUUUAUGACUGCAGUGCGACAGCUGUUUCCAAUUUCAUUUUUUUUUGGUUAAUUUUUCUUCCUUGGCUGCUUUAUAUUGUUUUGUCUGCUCUUUUCAGUUGUAUCAAUAUUUUUAUUUUUGUUUCUGAAGUUUGAAUUGUUUUGUUUUCAAUUCUAAUUAUAUUUUUGUGAUUUUUCUUUAGUUUGUUCCUGCUUCUUUCUUCAGUUGCAUUAGUUUUGUUUCAAGCAAUUAUUUAUUUGUUGAUUCAGUGGUUGUAAAAUUUGAUUUAUUUGUUUAUUGUUCUUUGACUGGCUGAUUGAGAACAACCCAGUUUCAAAGUGACUGUUUAUUUGAUGCAUAUAUCAUCUUUGUCUCAGCAGGGCCUGAGCACCAGGGGCAGAGGACUGGUUUUUAGGUGGUGGUAUCUGUGUGAUUUGUCUUAAUAUUUGUUUGUGAGUGUGUGUUUGUGUACACAGUGAAGUGCAGUGAUUUACCUACAGGUGGUGUGGUCUGAUUAUCCGCUUUUUUUACUGGUAAGCUCUAGUCCCUGGCCCUCGACUUGUUCUAAAAACCCUUAGUGGCCCGUUUGGCUGGAACAAACGUUUCAUUAUUUUAAUAUUGUUUUUAACAGAGAUUUGUCAAUAAAGAGAAUUUUUGAAUUGUUACCCAUGUUUCUGACUCUAAUUGGUGAUACGAAUCUGUGUAUGCCUCUGUAGGUGGUCUAUUCUAAUCCUUUGGGUGAAAUUCCCAUCGUGGUGUAGUCGGAGUGAGACUGAUAUCUUGUUAGUUUCCCAUUGUAUUUAAAGGUCCCGUUUUUCGUGGUUUUUGAAGCUUUGAUUGUGUUUCUAGUG